RNAcentral lists this long non-coding RNA (382 nucleotides) under Phascolarctos cinereus (koala). RNAcentral describes it as "lncRNA (ENSPCIG00000028722.2)". Lineage: Eukaryota; Metazoa; Chordata; Mammalia; Diprotodontia; Phascolarctidae. The record is from RNAcentral.
CUUUCCCCAUAUGCACAUACCUCUAUCUUGACCAUUCUCCCCACUCUACACCUUGGUAGUUUCUUCUUCAGAACUCAAACACAGUCAACAGAUUUUCAAGGAAUCAUAAGCAGAGGAACAAACACCAUCAACCAAAGAAUAAGAUUCCAGAAAAAAAACAGAAGGAAAAUGAGCAGUAAGGAGAAAAAUGGUGGGAAAGCUGGACUGACAGGACAAGACCUUGGUUUGUGUUGAGGCAGCAUGGUGGCCAGAACUCUACUCAUGGACAGUGUAAGAGAAGGGCUACUUCUUCCAAAUGAGGAUCCGGGUCAGUGACUCCCAGGUGAGAGAAGAGGUUGGUGGUAUAUAUAUAUAUAUAUGUGUGUGUGUGUGUGUGUGUGUG